This 1525-nucleotide long non-coding RNA is filed under the name Dromaius novaehollandiae (emu). RNAcentral's name for it is "lncRNA (ENSDNVG00000009656.1)". Lineage: Eukaryota; Metazoa; Chordata; Aves; Casuariiformes; Dromaiidae. The record is from RNAcentral.
AUCUGAAUUUGAAUGCCCGAGUCUAUUCAGAAAGGACGUUUGUGCCACAGUUCUCUUCUAACACUCUCUUCCCAUGAAAAUGAAAAAUAAUAAUACACACAGCUUGUACUUCUUCAAAGCUACAGAAGCAUGGGUAAACAGAUACAGCUUGUGGAUCACUGUCCUCCUCCUCUCCUGGGUGCAGCUGUACAGGUGGAGACCAUUACUGCUUGCAUUUCAUCCUCAGUUGCUCAGGACCAUCUCAGCAUCUUCCUGAAGAUACUUCUCGCUCCAGAGGAUGCAGCACCGCAGAGGCUUGCCUGCAGGCUCCCAGACCUGAGACAGUUCUCAUGGGCCAGGUUAGCACAGACUGUGCAAGCUCACCCAGUUUAUUUUCACUGGUCCCUGUUACAGAGGACAAACUUGAGAGAUCUGGCUGGGUGGUCUGCAGGAGCACUGGCCAACGCCAGCACGGUGGUGUCUACCAGCCCCGUGUUUUGUAGACCAUGUCUCUGCACUUCUGGUGGAAGCUAUAUGGGAAAAUAGGAGAAUUCCUGGGGGCAGGAGAUUAACUUGUGAAAGGAGACAAUUGUGUAUCGAAUGCUUUGAUAUCUUUGUGGAGGUUCAAAGGAGAUUGAAUUGUUGUUUGCACCAUCUUUAUACCAUAUUAAUGCACCCACUGAUCAUCUGUGGAGGCUCCAAAUGACUGGUUUUUUUACUAUAUUGGUGCAUAAUUUGGAUUCUUUUAGUUCAAAUUAUAUUAUUCUCUUCAUUGAAAUAUUGGAAUGAAGAGCAUGACACUUUGGUUCUCCUAGUAGCAUUAAAAUUCUCCAGGUUCUGUUUGGGAGUGUGUUGUAGUUCAAAUCAGUGUUGACAUUUGGGGUCAAGAAGUAGUAUUUGCUCAUGUCACUUUGGUUAUUCCCACUGAGGUUUGUUUGGGGGAUUUUGCUUUUCGUAUAGGGUGAUGCACGGCCUACUUCCCUGUUCGUUUCCGUGGAGCAGCUCCAUGGACAGCAGCAAUGCCUUUGAUUUUUCCAGCUCUCUUCCCACAGCCUUUUAGUGUAGGCAGUCCCCUAACCUACCUGUGCAAUGUCAAACACGUGCAUACAGAAUGGGAGCUGAACAUGGUCAUCUCACGUCAAUGUAACUGGCAUCAAAGGAUCAAAGGAGGUUAAAAAAAAAAAAAAAAAAGGAUGACUACCUUCAGUUGUAAAACAUGACCUUUUAACUUUGUAUCGCUAAGCAGGAAAAAUGUUUUCAUUUCUCUGAAACUAUGUAGAAGUGAUAGUGCAUUAGUUUGACUUUUGACAUUAAUAUAGAACUAUAUUGUUUCUGAAGGAUCUCUUUUAGCAUGGCACUUUAAUUACUUAAAGUUCAGAUACACAAGUAUCUAAAGUUCAGGUAGAGCAGCCCACCAAAAGAAAAACAAACCAAACCAAAGGCAGGUAGCUUUGAGAAGGUCAUUUCUAUAGGUGGGGGGAUGAGUUAUCGGUAUCAUGUAGGUGAAGCAGAGUGCUCCCGUUCAAACUGGAAGGAUGCAUUUAAU